RNA transcript from Gasterosteus aculeatus aculeatus (three-spined stickleback), 2902 nucleotides. It is a transcript of the gene named CLK4-associating serine/arginine rich protein, with no coding region annotated. The record is from RefSeq and is a predicted model, not a curated record. NCBI's taxonomy places the organism in Eukaryota, Metazoa, Chordata, Actinopteri, Perciformes, Gasterosteidae.
GAAGAAGAAGAAGUAGGAGGAAGCAGGAUAAAGAAGAAGAAGAAGAAGUAGGAGGAGGUGUGUGACACUCCGCUAUCGUCGCUCUCGGCAGACUGAAAACAACCCAAGUGUGUGUGUUGGUGCUCAUUAAAACCGCAGCCGUGCCACGCCGCGCCCCCACCCCCAGCGGCGCCGUCAUGUGGCAAGAGGCCCGCAAACAUGAGCGCAAGCUCCGCGGCAUGAUGGUAGAUUACAAACGCCGAGGAGAGCGACGGCGGGAGUACUACGAGAAGAUCAAAAAAGAUCCAGCUCAGUUUCUCCAGGUUCAUGGCCGAGCCUACAAGAUCCAUCUGGAUCCUGCCGUGGCGCUGGCUGCAGAGAGCCCCAUCAACAUGAUGCCCUGGCAGGGAGAUGCCAACAACAUGAUUGAUAGGUUUGAUGUACGGGCACAUCUGGACUACAUCCCCACCUACACUCCUCCCCUGCUCAGCACAUCAACCCCAGAGCAGGAAAUGGAGGAGAGAAAGUCCAAUUAUGAGCGAUACAGAGGCCUUGUGCAGAAUGACUUUGCCAACAUCUCUGAGGAGCAGUGUUUGUACCAGAUCUACCUGGAUGAGCUUUACGGUGGCUUGCAGAAACCAAAUGAGGACGAAAAGAAAAGACUGGCUGAAAAGAAGGCCUCCAUUGGUUACACCUACGAAGACAGCACGGUGACGGAGCCAGACCCCGAGUCCGACAAAGAUGAAGAGAAUUCAGAGAGCGAAUCCGAGGAGGAUGAAGGCAUCCCAGAUAUUGAUGUGGAGGUGGACGUUGAUGAGUUGAACGAAGAACAGGUGUUGGACGUGAACAAAAUGGCAACCCCGUACGGAAUGGCAGAAGGAGACUUUGUCAGGAUGUUGAGGAAAGACAAGGAGGAGGUGGAGGCCAUCAAACACGCCAAAGCGCUGGAGGCGGAGAAGGCCAUGUACUCGGGCCGGCGUUCUCGCAGACAAAGGAGAGAGUUCAGAGAGAAGAGACUGAAGGGUAGACAGAUCAGCCCACCAAGCUAUGCAAGGAGAGACAGCCCAACUUACGAUCCCUAUAAACGGCCAGAGAUGGAGUCGAGCUCAGAGUCUCGCUCGCGCUCUCGUUCUCCUGGUCCCGAGAAGAUCACCUUCAUCACCAGCUAUGGAGGCAGCGACGAUGAAGCAGUAGCAGCUGCAGCAGCGGCCGCAGCAGCCGCCACAGCCGCCGCCUCCGUAGCAGCAGCAGCAGCAGCAACACAAACGAGCGCUCCUCACUCUGGACACGUCUCCUCCAACUUGCAACACCCUGCAGGUCAUAGCAGGGGCUCCCGGAGACGAAGGUCCUCCUCCAGCCGCUCCCCUUCCUCCUCCUCCUCCAGCUCCUCAUCCCAGUCCACCUCUCGCUCUUCCUCCCGAUCGCGGCGUACCCGCCGGGGCCGCGGGGGGAGGGACGGCCGCCGAUCCCGGACCCGAUCCCGGUCGAGACGGCGUUCCACAUCUCACUCCCGGAGCAGAGGAGGCAACGGAGGGGCUGCUUCCUGGAAGAGACGAGACCGGACGCGGUCGAGGUCCGCCGACAGGGACCGAGAUAGAGAUAGAGAUCGAGAUAGAGAGCGAGAGAGGGAGCGAGAGAGGGACAGAGACCGAGACAGGCGACGAUACUCGGCGCGAAGACGGACGAGGUCCCGUUCCAGCUCGCGGCAGGGGGGCAGUUUGAGGCGAGGGGGCCGGAGCAGCGGAGGCCACCGGAGAGGAGACAGCGGCAGCCGCAGUCCGUCUCAGUCCCCUAGCCGCCUCAACCAAAGUCCCUCCCCUCCAAGUGGAGCCCUGCCUUCGACCAACACCGUCCGUGACAAGCUAAGAAAGCCUGAUACUCCGGGUGGUAAAGAGACGGGAGCUGCCAAAGUCACCCAAGAUGACCCCUCAGGAGCGGCUCAAGCUAAAAAUGCAGAAGGCACUCAACAAGCAGUCCAAGGCGGAUAAAAGAGCUGCUCAGGUGAAGAUCCAGCAGCAGGAAAACAAGCGACAGGAGAGGGAGGGAGAGCUGCGAGCCAUGGCACGCAAGAUACGCAUGAAGGAGCGCGAGAGACGGGAGAAGGAGAGGGAUGAAUGGGAGAGGCAGUACGGGCGACAGAGCCACUCGCCUUCCCCCUCCCCUUCCAAAUAUGGCCGAGAGCACAGCUCACACAGAAGGAGGUCUCGUUCCCGGUCCCGGUCCCGGUCUCGUUCCCGGUCCCGGUCUCGGAGUCCACACUACCGACACUGAUCCCUGGAAAACAUUGAUGCAUCUUAUAAAAAAAAAAAAUUAAAAAAAACCCACGUCAUUACAAAACCUUGUCAUUGGCACACAUGCUGUUAAACAAGCAGCGUGUAACAAUAUGAAGUGAAUGUGGCACAAGUCUUUACCUGAAUAAUAUGUCCUCUGGUAUGUGUUGUUGACGGAGUAUUCCUUUCAGACUGCGAGGCCGUUUAGUUUCACCAAUUUCACAGCCAAUUGGUUCUUCAUCUUAUAAAGAGACUUGAGGUUUAUUAAAUGAGUUUGUUUUUUUUCUUCUUCUGCAUGUUUUUUUUUCUUUUCCUGCCUGGCCGGCUCUUCUCUAUUUCAAAGUACAUAAUACUAAGCAAUAUCAUUUAUUUUUUUUAAUUCUUUUUUUUUCACCCCAUGUCUGCCUCUUCCAAGGUUCUCAACACUCAAAGACCGUUUUAAACAGUUUUCAUGAGCUGAUGUACAGGAUAUUUAUACACUGCAAUUUAAAACUUCUUUAUUAAAGAAAUUAAGUUAAUGUAUGAAUUCAAUCCAUCUCUCCCUGUUUUUAUACUCUGCUCUGCCAGCCAGUUAUCAGCAGCAAAUAUACUUUUCUUUUCAAUAAUGUCGAAUGUCCAAAUACAGAUAAAAAAUAAAGCAGAAUUUGAAAUGA